UGGGGGAUAUUGCACAAUGGGCGAAAGCCUGAUGCAGCGACGCCGCGUGGGGGAUGAAGGCCUUCGGGUUGUAAACUUCUUUUGCUCUGAACAAGGCAUGCCUUUGGGGUGUGUUGAGUGUAGGGGUUGAUUAGCGCCGGCUAACUACGUGCCAGCAGCCGCGGUAAUACGUAGGGCGCGAGCGUUGUCCGGAAUUAUUGGGUGUAAUGGGCUUGUAGGUGGCUGGUUGCGUCUGUCGUGAAAGCUCAUGGCUUAACUGUGGGUUUGCGGUGGGUACGGGCUGGCUUGAGUGGAGUAGGGGAGGUUGGGAUUACGGGUGUAGGGGUGGAAUGCGCAGAUAUCAGGAGGAAUACCGGUGGCGGAGGCGGGUCUCUGGGCUGUUACUGACGCUGAGGAGCGAAAGGGUGGGGAGCGAACAGG
RNAcentral lists this ribosomal RNA (420 nucleotides) under Fusobacteriota bacterium. RNAcentral's name for it is "Fusobacteria bacterium partial 16S ribosomal RNA". It matches the Rfam family "Bacterial small subunit ribosomal RNA", at positions 355 to 776 of the family's 1533-position model. The record is from RNAcentral. Lineage: Bacteria; Fusobacteriati; Fusobacteriota.